RNAcentral lists this ribosomal RNA (490 nucleotides) under uncultured bacterium. RNAcentral describes it as "partial 16S ribosomal RNA". It matches the Rfam family "Bacterial small subunit ribosomal RNA", at positions 30 to 507 of the family's 1533-position model. The record is from RNAcentral.
AUUGAACGCUGGCGGCAGGCCUAACACAUGCCAGUCGAACGGUAACAGGAGGAAGCUUGCUUCUUUGCUGACGAGUGGCGGACGGGUGAGUAAUGUCUGGGAAACUGCCUGAUGGAGGGGGAUAACUACUGGAAACGGUAGCUAAUACCGCAUAACGUCGCAAGACCAAAGAGGGGGACCUUCGGGCCUCUUGCCAUCGGAUGUGCCCAGAUGGGAUUAGCUAGUAGGUGGGGUAACGGCUCACCUAGGCGACGAUCCCUAGCUGGUCUGAGAGGAUGACCAGCCACACUGGAACUGAGACACGGUCCAGACUCCUACGGGAGGCAGCAGUGGGGAAUAUUGCACAAUGGGCGCAAGCCUGAUGCAGCCAUGCCGCGUGUAUGAAGAAGGCCUUCGGGUCGUAAAGUACUUUCAGCGGGGAGGAAGGGAGUAAAGUUAAUACCUUUGCUCAUUGACGUUACCCGCAGAAGAAGCACCGGCUAACUCCGUG